UGGGCGAUUAGCUCAGCUGGUAGAGCAGCUGACUCUUAAUCAGCGGGUCGCAGGUUCGAAUCCUGUAUCGCCCAU
This 75-nucleotide transfer RNA is filed under the name subsurface metagenome. RNAcentral's name for it is "tRNA-Lys". It matches the Rfam family "tRNA". Rfam says of the family: Transfer RNA (tRNA) molecules are approximately 80 nucleotides in length. Their secondary structure includes four short double-helical elements and three loops (D, anti-codon, and T loops). The record is from RNAcentral.